RNAcentral lists this ribosomal RNA (597 nucleotides) under Chlorococcum oleofaciens. RNAcentral describes it as "eukaryotic LSU rRNA". It matches the Rfam family "Eukaryotic large subunit ribosomal RNA", at positions 43 to 672 of the family's 3401-position model. Lineage: Eukaryota; Viridiplantae; Chlorophyta; Chlorophyceae; Chlamydomonadales; Chlorococcaceae. The record is from RNAcentral.
CUGUGAAGUCGAGGAAGUGUCAAGGUAUUCCCCUAGUAACGCGCGAGUGAAACGGGAUAAGCCCAACUUGAAAAUCUCCCUUUGGAGAAUUGUAGUCUAUAGAAGCGUCCUCUGUGGCGGCCCGAGCCCAAGUCCGCUGGAAAGCGGCGUCAGAGAGGGUGAGAACCCCGUCGGCUUUCCGCUUAGCUACUCCACGAGGUGCUUUCCACGAGUCGGGUUGUUUGGGAAUGCAGCCCCAAAUUGGAGGUAAAUCCCUUCUAAGGCUAAAUACUGGCGAGAGACCGAUAGCGAACAAGUACCGUGAGGGAAAGAUGAAAAGAACUUUGAAAAGAGAGUUAAAAAGUGCUUGAAAUUGUUGAGAGGGAAGCGAUUGGAGGGUGUGAGUGCGUCUAGGCUUAUGCAUCUCUAACGAGCUGCUGUAUGUGCUAGAUGCUGGUCAGCAUGGGUUAGCCGGGCGGGAUAACAGCAUGGGUUGAUACCGUGUCUAUGCCGUCUGGUUGAUCAAGGUGUGAUUGGCGCUUAGUCCUUCGGGAACUGCGUCAACAAGAUGCUGGCAGAAGCCCUUCAAUCGGCCCGUCUUGAAACACGGACCAAGGA